CAGUAGCCACGGUAAAACGUAGGUGGCAAGCGUUGUCCGGAAUUAUUGGGCGUAAAGGGCUCGCAGGCGGUUUCUUAAGUCUGAUGUGAAAGCCCCCGGCUCAACCGGGGAGGGUCAUUGGAAACUGGGAAACUUGAGUGCAGAAGAGGAGAGUGGAAUUCCACGUGUAGCGGUGAAAUGCGUAGAGAUGUGGAGGAACACCAGUGGCGAAGGCGACUCUCUAGUCUGUAACUGACGCUGAGGAGCGAAAGCGUGGGGAGCGAACAGGAUUAGAUACCCCAGUAGUCCCUGUCUCUUAUAC
Molecule: ribosomal RNA, 301 nt
Filed under: uncultured bacterium
Lineage: Bacteria
Description: partial 16S ribosomal RNA
Rfam family: Bacterial small subunit ribosomal RNA
Source: RNAcentral